UUUCCGUAGGUGAACCUGCGGAAGGAUCAUUAUUGUAUAACCGAGGUGCGAGGGCUGUCGCUGACCCGAAAGGUCGUGCACGCCCGAGUGCCCUCACACACAUCCAUCUCACCCCUAUGUGCACCACCGCGUGAGUCCCCCUUUGGCUUGUUCGGAGGGGGGCUUACGUUUUCACACAAACUUUGUAUGCAGUGUAGAAUGUAUUUUUUGUGUUUGCGAUCACGCAAUCAAUACAACUUUCAACAACGGAUCUCUUGGCUCUC
RNAcentral lists this unclassified non-coding RNA (263 nucleotides) under plant metagenome. RNAcentral's name for it is "partial contains small subunit ribosomal RNA, internal transcribed spacer 1, and 5.8S ribosomal RNA". The record is from RNAcentral.